AUUGAACGCUGGCGGCAGGCCUAACACAUGCAAGUCGAGCGAGCGGCGGACGGGUGAGUAAUGUAUGGGGUCUGUCAGAUAGAGGGGGAUACCUACUGGAAAUGGUAGCUAAUACCGCAUACUACCGGACAACCUAUAAGGGAUUAGCUAGUAGGUGGGGUAAUGGCUCACCUAGGCGUCUAUCCCUAGCUGGUCUGAGAGGAUGAUCCGCCACACUGGGACUGAGACACGGCCCAGACUCCUACGGAGGCAGCAGUGGGGAAUAUUGCACAAUGGGCGCAAGCCUGAUGCAGCCAUGCCGCGUGUAUGAAGAAGGCCCUAGGGUUGUAAAGUACUUUCAGUCGGGAGGCGUUACCGACAGAAGAAGCACCGGCUAACUCCGUGCCAGCAGCCGCGGUAAUUC
RNAcentral lists this ribosomal RNA (403 nucleotides) under uncultured bacterium. RNAcentral describes it as "partial 16S ribosomal RNA". It matches the Rfam family "Bacterial small subunit ribosomal RNA", at positions 30 to 526 of the family's 1533-position model. The record is from RNAcentral.